GACGAACGCUGGCGGCGUGCUUAACACAUGCAAGUCGUACGGUAAGGCCCUUUCGGGGGUCCCCGAGUGGCGAACGGGUGAGUAACACGUGAGUAACCUGCCCACAACUUUGGGAUAACGCUAGGAAACUGGUGCUAAUACUGGAUAUGUGCUCCUGCUGCAUGGUGGGGGUUGGAAAGCUCCGGCGGUUGUGGAUGGACUCGCGGCCUAUCAGCUUGUUGGUGGGGUAGUGGCCUACCAAGGCGGCGACGGGUAGCCGGCCUGAGAGGGUGACCGGCCACAUUGGGACUGAGAUACGGCCCAGACUCCUACGGGAGGCAGCAGUGGGGAAUAUUGCACAAUGGGCGCAAGCCUGAUGCAGCAACGCCGCGUGCGGGAUGGCGGCCUUCGGGUUGUAAACCGCUUUCAGCAGGGACGAAGCUUUUUGUGACGGUACCUGCAGAAGAAGCACCGGCUAACUACGUG
This 465-nucleotide ribosomal RNA is filed under the name uncultured bacterium. Its description in RNAcentral is "partial 16S ribosomal RNA". It matches the Rfam family "Bacterial small subunit ribosomal RNA", at positions 28 to 507 of the family's 1533-position model. The record is from RNAcentral.